This 440-nucleotide ribosomal RNA is filed under the name uncultured bacterium. RNAcentral describes it as "partial 16S ribosomal RNA". It matches the Rfam family "Bacterial small subunit ribosomal RNA", at positions 338 to 795 of the family's 1533-position model. The record is from RNAcentral.
CCUACGGGUGGCAGCAGUGGGGUAUAUUGCACAAUGGGGGAAACCCUGAUGCAGCGACGCCGCGUGAGUGAAGAAGCGCCUCGGCGCGUAAAGCCCUGUCAGCAGGGAAGAACAUGACGUUACCUGAACAAGAAGCCCCGGCUAACUACGGUCCAGCAGCCGCGGUAAUACGGAGGGUGCGAGCGUUAAGCGGAAUUACUGGGCGUAAGGCGCUCGGAGGCGGUUUGUCAAGUCAAGGGUGAAAUCCCCGCGCUCAACGUGGGAACUGCCUUUGAAACUGGCAAAGUGGAGUGUGUGAGAGGAUAGUGGAAUUCCAGGUGUAGGAGUGAAAUCCGUAGAUAUCUGGAGGAACAUCAGUGGCGAAGGCGACUAUCUGGCACAUAACUGACGCUGAGGAGCGAAAGCGUGGGUAGCAAACAGGAUUAGAUACCCGGGUAGUC